GAUGAACGCUGGCGGCGUGCUUAACACAUGCAAGUCGAACGAUGAAGCCCAGCUUGCUGGGUGGAUUAGUGGCGAACGGGUGAGUAACACGUGAGUAACCUGCCCUUAACUCUGGGAUAAGCCUGGGAAACUGGGUCUAAUACCGGAUAGGAGCGUCCACCGCAUGGUGGGUGUUGGAAAGAUUUAUCGGUUUUGGAUGGACUCGCGGCCUAUCAGCUUGUUGGUGGGGUAAUGGCUCACCAAGGCGACGACGGGUAGCCGGCCUGAGAGGGUGACCGGCGCCAGGGGAACGGCGCGAGGGACAAGGGUGCUAAGGGAGGCAGCAGUGGCGAAUAUGAGGAAAUGGGCGGAAGCGAGGGACGGCGAUGCCGCGUGUGUGAACAAGGUCUUGGGAUGGGAAAGCACAUGAAGGGGGGAGGAAGGGCAGUAAGUGAAUAACUUGCUGUCGUGACGUUACCAAAAUAAUAAGCACAGGCUAACUUCGUG
This 486-nucleotide ribosomal RNA is filed under the name uncultured bacterium. Its description in RNAcentral is "partial 16S ribosomal RNA". It matches the Rfam family "Bacterial small subunit ribosomal RNA", at positions 28 to 507 of the family's 1533-position model. The record is from RNAcentral.